This 253-nucleotide ribosomal RNA is filed under the name uncultured bacterium. RNAcentral describes it as "partial 16S ribosomal RNA". It matches the Rfam family "Bacterial small subunit ribosomal RNA", at positions 524 to 776 of the family's 1533-position model. The record is from RNAcentral.
UACAGAGGUGGCAAGCGUUGUUCGGAAUUACUGGGCGUAAAGGGCGCGUAGGCGGUCCGAUAAGUCCUGUGUGAAACCCCUCGGCUCAACUGAGGAACUGCACGGGAGACUGUCGGGCUUGAGUUCGGGAGAGGGAAGCGGAAUUCCGGGUGUAGCGGUGAAAUGCGUAGAUAUCCGGAGGAACACCGGUGGCGAAGGCGGCUUCCUGGACCGACACUGACGCUGAGGCGCGAAAGCUAGGGGAGCAAACGGG